RNAcentral lists this ribosomal RNA (496 nucleotides) under uncultured bacterium. Its description in RNAcentral is "bacterial SSU rRNA". It matches the Rfam family "Bacterial small subunit ribosomal RNA", at positions 29 to 518 of the family's 1533-position model. The record is from RNAcentral.
AUGAACGCUAGCGACAGGCCUAACACAUGCAAGUCGAGGGGCAGCACAAGGAGCAAUCUGAGGUGGCGACCGGCGCACGGGUGAGUAACACGUAUGCAACCUGCCUGUAAGCGGGGAAUAACCCGUUGAAAGACGGAUUAAUACCGCAUAAUACUAAAUUACUGCAUGGUAAUUUAUUUAAACAUUUAUGGCUUACAGAUGGGCAUGCGCAUGAUUAGCUAGUUGGAGAGGUAACGGCUCCCCAAGGCAACGAUCAUUAGGGGUUCUGAGAGGAAGGUCCCCCACACUGGUACUGAGACACGGACCAGACUCCUACGGGAGGCAGCAGUGAGGAAUAUUGGUCAAUGGACGAGAGUCUGAACCAGCCAAGUCGCGUGCAGGAAGAAUGUUCCCUAUGGAUUGUAAACUGCUUUUGCAGGGGAAUAAAGUGCAUCACGUGUGAUGUUUUGUAUGUACUCUGCGAAUAAGGAUCGGCUAACUCCGUGCCAGCAGCGGC